Molecule: ribosomal RNA, 127 nt
Filed under: Parvularcula sp.
Lineage: Bacteria; Pseudomonadati; Pseudomonadota; Alphaproteobacteria; Parvularculales; Parvularculaceae
Description: partial 16S ribosomal RNA
Rfam family: Bacterial small subunit ribosomal RNA
Source: RNAcentral
UCAACUUGAGAGUUUGAUCCUGGCUCAGGACGAACGCUGGCGGCAGGCUUAACACAUGCAAGUCGAACGACCCGCAAGGGGAGUGGCAGACGGGUGAGUAACACGUGGGAACAUGCACAAAGGGACG